This is a non-coding RNA of Gossypium hirsutum (cotton), 168 nucleotides long. NCBI's taxonomy places the organism in Eukaryota, Viridiplantae, Streptophyta, Magnoliopsida, Malvales, Malvaceae. The record is from Rfam.
AGGAUUGAGAGGACCUUUCCUUAGUACAAGAGGACCGGGAAGGACGCACCUCUAGUGUACCAGUUAUCGUGCCCACGGUAAACGCUGGGUAGCCAAGUGCGGGGCGGAUAUGAAACUUUUUCAUUUAUCAUUUAAACUAAAGCAACUUUUUAUUUCUAUAUGAAACCU